This is a non-coding RNA of Poecilia reticulata (guppy), 339 nucleotides long. Lineage: Eukaryota; Metazoa; Chordata; Actinopteri; Cyprinodontiformes; Poeciliidae. The record is from RefSeq and is a predicted model, not a curated record.
GCAAUGUAGUUAUGCAGGAGCUGCUAGAAUUAUGUAAACAAACGAGCAUAAUGCCAAGAACUAUGCCGUUUCCUCUGAAACUAACCGACUAACUUAAGUAAUGGUGGAUGCAGUAUCAUUGUAGCAACCCGACAGCUUCUCGGGAGACUGUAAAAAGAAGCAUACAUGAGGCUUUCCAGCUGAGUCUGGAAACUCUUGAGAAAAAGGCGAGGCAGCUCAGAGCCACAGAGAAAAGGGCCAAUUUUCUGCAGACACAAUUUGAAGAUGUGUCUAAAAAGUUGAUGGUUGCAAAUUUGAAAAUUGACAUUUUGGAAGGUUGUUCCACUUUUUACACUGAAG